UAUGUAGGGUGCGAGCGUUAAUCGGAAUUACUGGGCGUAAAGCGUGCGCAGGCGGUUUUGUAAGCCAGAUGUGAAAUCCCCGGGCUUAACCUGGGAAUGGCAUUUGGGACUGCAAGGCUGGAGUGUGGCAGAGGAGACUGGAAUUCCUGGUGUAGCAGUGAAAUGCGUAGAUAUCAGGAGGAAUACCGAUGGCGAAGGCAGGUCUCUGGGCUGACACUGACGCUCAUGCACGAAAGCGUGGGGAGCAAACAGG
RNAcentral lists this ribosomal RNA (253 nucleotides) under uncultured bacterium. RNAcentral describes it as "partial 16S ribosomal RNA". It matches the Rfam family "Bacterial small subunit ribosomal RNA", at positions 524 to 776 of the family's 1533-position model. The record is from RNAcentral.